This 389-nucleotide long non-coding RNA is filed under the name Parus major (Great Tit). RNAcentral's name for it is "lncRNA (ENSPMJG00000010556.1)". Lineage: Eukaryota; Metazoa; Chordata; Aves; Passeriformes; Paridae. The record is from RNAcentral.
AGCAGACAAAGUGGCCAGCCCUAAUUUAUUAAAAACAUAAACCCAGUUGUGUGCAUUUGUGAUGCUUCUUGUAAUGUUCAGUGUUUCUAUUUGGUUACAAUUUUGCUGCCUUUUUCACUCCAUUCUUUCGGUUUUUCUGAAGGAAUUCUAUCCCCAAACUACAGCCCAGCAGUGAGUUCUGGGAUACAGAAGUCCCUGAGAGUUCAAUACAUGGCUUAUGUUCCUUCUCUGAAUUCUGGGUACUUGAACUUCUUCCUAUUUUAUCUCCUGCUGAAAUGGCAGCUGAACAGUGGAAUAACUGAAAUACUGGCAAAAGAUUAGGUAAGUCUAGGUGGAAAUUUUAGAUGAACAUCAUCUACUGGGAAGGGAUAGUGCAGUGUGAGCCAGGC